RNAcentral lists this ribosomal RNA (487 nucleotides) under uncultured bacterium. RNAcentral's name for it is "partial 16S ribosomal RNA". It matches the Rfam family "Bacterial small subunit ribosomal RNA", at positions 28 to 507 of the family's 1533-position model. The record is from RNAcentral.
GAUGAACGCUAGCGAUAGGCUUAACACAUGCAAGUCGAGGGGCAGCACAAGGUAGCUUGCUAUCUGGGUGGCGACCGGCGCACGGGUGCGUAACGCGUAUGCAACUUGCCCUAUACAGGAGGAUAACCCGUCGAAAGACGGACUAAUACUGCGUAUGCUCACAACUUGGCAUCAAGCGGUGAGGAAAGAAAUUCGGUAUAGGAUAGGCAUGCGUCCCAUUAGCUUGUUGGUGAGGUAACGGCUCACCAAGGCAGCGAUGGGUAGGGGAACUGAGAGGUUUAUCCCCCACACUGGUACUGAGACACGGACCAGACUCCUACGGGAGGCAGCAGUGAGGAAUAUUGGUCAAUGGGCGCGAGCCUGAACCAGCCAAGUCGCGUGAAGGAUGACUGUCUUAUGGAUUGUAAACUUCUUUUAUACGGGAAUAACAAGAGUCACGUGUGACUCCCUGCAUGUACCGUAUGAAUAAGCAUCGGCUAACUCCGUG